GAUGAACGCUGGCGGCGUGCCUAAUACAUGCAAGUCGAGCGAACAGAUAAGGAGCUUGCUCCUUUGACGUUAGCGGCGGACGGGUGAGUAACACGUGGGUAACCUACCUAUAAGACUGGAAUAACUCCGGGAAACCGGGGCUAAUGCCGGAUAACAUUUAGAACCGCAUGGUUCUAAAGUGAAAGAUGGUUUUGCUAUCACUUAUAGAUGGACCCGCGCCGUAUUAGCUAGUUGGUAAGGUAACGGCUUACCAAGGCAACGAUACGUAGCCGACCUGAGAGGGUGAUCGGCCACACUAGAACUGAGACACGGACCAGACUCCCACGGGAGGCAGCAGUAGGGAAUCUUCCGCAAUGGGCGAAAGCCUGACGGAGCAACGCCGCGUGAGUGAUGAAGGUCUUCGGAUCGUAAAACUCUGUUAUUAGGGAAGAACAAAUGUGUAAGUAACUAUGCACGUCUUGACGGUACCUAAUCAGAAAGCCACGGCUAACUACGUG
This 497-nucleotide ribosomal RNA is filed under the name uncultured bacterium. RNAcentral's name for it is "partial 16S ribosomal RNA". It matches the Rfam family "Bacterial small subunit ribosomal RNA", at positions 28 to 507 of the family's 1533-position model. The record is from RNAcentral.